CCUACGGGAGGCAGCAGUGAGGAAUAUUGGUCAAUGGACGAGAGUCUGAACCAGCCAAGUAGCGUGAAGGAUGACUGCCCUAUGGGUUGUAAACUUCUUUUAUAUGGGAAUAAAAUGUUCCACGUGUGGCUUUUUGUAUGUACCAUAUGAAUAAGGAUCGGCUAACUCCGUGCCAGCAGCCGCGGUAAUACGGAGGAUCCGAGCGUUAUCCGGAUUUAUUGGGUUUAAAGGGAGCGUAGGUGGGUUGUUAAGUCAGUUGUGAAAGUUUGCGGCUCAACCGUAAAAUUGCAGUUGAAACUGGCAGUCUUGAGUACAGUAGAGGUGGGCGGAAUUCGUGGUGUAGCGGUGAAAUGCUUAGAUAUCACGAAGAACUCCGAUUGCGAAGGCAGCUCACUGGACUGCAACUGACACUGAUGCUCGAAAGUGUGGGUAUCAAACAGGAUUAGAUACCCCAGUAGUC
RNAcentral lists this ribosomal RNA (460 nucleotides) under uncultured bacterium. Its description in RNAcentral is "partial 16S ribosomal RNA". It matches the Rfam family "Bacterial small subunit ribosomal RNA", at positions 338 to 795 of the family's 1533-position model. The record is from RNAcentral.